This 422-nucleotide ribosomal RNA is filed under the name uncultured bacterium. RNAcentral describes it as "bacterial SSU rRNA". It matches the Rfam family "Bacterial small subunit ribosomal RNA", at positions 355 to 774 of the family's 1533-position model. The record is from RNAcentral.
UGAGGAAUAUUGGACAAUGGGCGCAAGCCUGAUCCAGCCAUGCCGCGUGCAGGAAGAAGCAUCUAUGGUUUUUAAACUGCUUUUGUACGGGAAGAAACACUCCUACGUGUAGGAGCUUGACGGUACCGUAAGAAUAAUGAUCGGCUAACUCCGUGCCAGCAGCCGCGGUAAUACGGAGGAUCCAUGCUUUAUCCGGUAUCAUUGUGUUUAAAGUGUCCGUAGGCGGUUUAAUAAGUCAGUGGUGAAAGCCCAUCGCUCAAAGAUGGAACGGCCAUUGAUACUGUUAGACUUGAAUUACAAGGAAGUAACUAGAAUAUGUAGUGUAGCGAUGAAAUGAUUAGAUAUUACAUGGAAUACCAAUUGAGAAGGCAGGUUACUACUAAUGGAUUGACGCUGAUGGACGAAAGCGUGGGGAGCGAACA